RNAcentral lists this long non-coding RNA (2031 nucleotides) under Homo sapiens (human). RNAcentral describes it as "non-protein coding ATP11A-AS1:1". The record is from RNAcentral. Lineage: Eukaryota; Metazoa; Chordata; Mammalia; Primates; Hominidae.
AGUGUGAGACAUUCCAGCCAAUGAGACCCACAGGCUUUGGAGGCGAUGGGUCCACCUGUGAGUGGAGUACAGAACGUGGGGGAACAGCUUCCCAGGAGUCUGGGGCUCAACCUCUCCAGGAGGCCCUGAAGGUGGCCUGAGAAAGUUCUGCCUCUCGGGGGGGCAGCGUGGAGCACAGGAGCCGCAGUGAGUCCUGCCUGGCUCUAAGCACCACUUUCCAAGCAUGCAGCUUUGGCAGGUGAAUUAGCCCAGUACUCAGUUUCCUCGGCGGGAGAGCAGGGCUGUGGGGUGGCACCUGCCUCACAGGGCCGCUGGGAGGGAUGCCUGGGUGACAGUGAACGCAAGGAGCAUGCUCAUACACCCCAAACAUGGCGAGCGUUAUCUGGAGGCAUAUGCAGAGGUGGGACUGGGGACCAGGUCUCCAAAGACCAAGAAUCAGCCGAGGCACUAAGGGGCAGAUUGCAGAGGUGAACAGUCCCGCCAGUGAGAACCCGGCCCUGUUAUUCCACGGCCUUCUCUGCCUUCUGCGAGAAAACGAAUUUCCCAGACCCCAGCGCAGGCCUUUCUCACAUCUCAGCAGCAGGGACCGUGGCUCCAACUGCGGCUCAGGAUGAAGGCCCCAGGCGCUGAAGAGAGUGAAGCCGAACCCCUCCUCAAUCCCAAAACACUGGGGACCACGGUGAGACAGCGACGCCCUGGAUGCUGCCUGGUCAAGGUCAGGCUGUGAUCGGCCUGUCAGGCGUGUGGCAGAACCAGCUUCAGAGGCAGCGGUGUCCACGUAAUGAGCUCAAAUGAUGCCCCAGGAAGAACAUAGAUGGCUUCUUUCUUUAAUUCCUCAGCAUGUUUUUAAAUUUAAAUAACUCUACAUUGCAUUUUGGAAAAAGCGCUUCUAACAUAAGCCUGUUUGACUGCAGUUAAAUAAUUUAUGUGUCUCUUGGCCUGGGAAUCACUGUCUCCAUUAUUUUUUUUAUGUGACUCACUUUAUUGCUCCAUUAUUAUUAAUAAUAAAUAUGUCAGGAAUCAGGCACACAAAAAUAUCAAGAAUAAAGAAGUAUAUAAAGAGCUCCUCAAGACACAACCCAAAUGAAAGAUGGGCAAAAGAUAUAAACAAGCUGUUCUUUUUCAAAAAAGAGAAAAGAACAGCAAAUGGACUUAAACACAUAAAAAGAUUCUCAACCUGCCUGUUAGCAGGAGAAGUACAAGAUAAAACCACAACAGGACGUGGCAUCUCAUCCAGCAGCGGUAGGCAGGCCCAGAAGCUGGCAAGCCGGGCAGCGCAGGCUGCUGGCGAGGUAGGUGGAGAACAGGCAUCCUCCUACGGCACUGACAGAGCAAACCGCAAACGUACCCCCCUUCUCAGAAAUCUCCCUUCUCCAAAGCGAUCCCAAAGCUGUCCUCGCAGAAAUAUAGCUGAUGUACUCACAAGGCAUCUGCAGCACUAUUUAUAAAAGCAGAAGAUUGGAGCCCAGCUGUCCAUGAUGUGGGGCGGCCAGGGGCGGGGGAGGUUGAGUCCACAGGGGAACAUCACGCAGCUGUGCAGACACAUGCACGCCAUCCACAUAACACGCAGGUACAAAGGGACGGAGGGACAGAGAGAAAAAAGUCUGGGCCGGGGUAACUGUAAGCCACCGUAUAUGUCAUUGGGAACACUGACUCAUUUACCCUGGGCCUGAUGUCACUGACUUCUACCUCCUGCCCCAAGACUUAGAGUGAAAGAUGAAAAGAUGACCUGUUAACUCACCUGUGGGCAGGAUGUGUAGACCAUGUAGCAUAUGUGAUUGAAUACACAGCCAGUCCCUCCAUUAACUCCAAAGGACACGGCUCCUUCGGCAGCUGCUGGAGGCCAGGCGGAAGCCACUCCCAGGUGGGUGCAUCCUGGCUGACUUUCCUGGAAAGUCCCGAUGCUACACUGACAACUACAUUCUCUUUAGCAAUUGUAGGAUGGCCAGCAAGGACACUGUGGUUAUCGGCGGUGGAAAGUAAAUUCUUGGCAUCCUACUGCUAUUCCAGGCUAUUAAACUACAUUACGGU